Molecule: ribosomal RNA, 1987 nt
Filed under: human oral metagenome
Description: bacterial LSU rRNA
Rfam family: Bacterial large subunit ribosomal RNA
Source: RNAcentral
GCCGGGACCAUCCGGUAAGGCUAAAUACUCCUGAGAGACCGAUAGUGAACUAGUACCGUGAGGGAAAGGUGAAAAGAACCGUGAAUAACGGAGUGAAAAAGACCCUGAAACCAUACGCUUACAAGCGGUUGGAGCAGCUUUAGGCUGUGACAGCGUGCCUUUUGCAUAAUGAGCCUACGAGUUACUGUUACCAGCGAGGAUAAGUAUUUCAGAUACGAAUCCGCAUCGAAAGAGAGUCUGAAAAGGGCGCAAAUAGUUGGUAGUAGUAGACGCGAAACCUGGUGAUCUACCCUUGGGCAGGUUGAAGCGCUGGUAACACAGCGUGGAGGACCGAACUGGUUGUCGUUGAAAAGACUUCGGAUGACCUGAGGGUAGGGGUGAAAGGCCAAUCAAACUGGGAAAUAGCUCGUACUCCCCGAAAUGCAUUUAGGUGCAGCGUUGGUGUGAGUUUAAUAGAGGUAGAGCUACUGAUUGGAUGCGGGGGUUUCAUCGCCUACCAAUUCCUGACAAACUCCGAAUGCUAUUAAAUGCUCAUCAGCAGUGAGGGUAUGGGUGCUAAGGUCCAUAUCCUAAAGGGAAAGAACCCGGACCAUCAGCUAAGGUCCCCAAAUAUAUGCUAAGUUGACCAAACGCGGUCUGACUGCACUGACAGCUAGGAUGUUGGCUUGGAAGCAGCCAUACAUUUAAAGAGUGCGUAACAGCUCACUAGUCGAGCGGUUGGGCAUGGAUAAUAAACGGGCAUAAGCAUAUUACCGAAGCUAUGGGGUUAUUGAAAGAUAUACCGGUAGGGGAGCAUUCUAUAGGCGUGGAAGCUAAAGGCGUGAGCCAUAGUGGAGCUGAUAGAAAAGAAAAUGUAGGCAUAAGUAACGAUAAGGCAGGCGAGAAACCUGCCCGCCGAAAGAUCAAGGUUUCCUCAGCUAUGCUAAUCAGCUGAGGGUUAGUCGGGGACUAACGCGCACCCGAGCAGGGGAAGUGGAUGUACAACAGGUUAAUAUUCCUGUACCAUUAAUCUGAUAAAAGUGACGGAACGAGAUAACUACCGCGUACUGACGGAAUAGUACGUUAAAGGAGCUGUUAUGGCUUUGAUAGUACACUGAGGCUUCGGCUAAGGUGAUAGAGUGGUGACAACGUUUCCAAGAAAAGCGAAGAUUAAUGCCCGUACCGUAAACCGACACAGGUGAUUGGGAAGAGAAUUCUAAGGCGCUCGAGAGAUUCAUGGCUAAGGAACUAGGCAAAAUAGACCUGUAACUUCGGGAGAAAGGUCGCCUAUCGUAAGAUAGGCCGCAGUGAAAAGGUCCAAGCGACUGUUUAUCAAAAACACAGGACUCUGCAAAAUCGAAAGAUGAGGUAUAGGGUCUGACACCUGCCCGGUGCUGGAAGGUUAAGAGGAGAGCUUAGUGGUAACACGAAGGUUUGAAUUGAAGCCCCAGUAAACGGCGGCCGUAACUAUAACGGUCCUAAGGUAGCGAAAUUCCUUGUCGGGUAAGUUCCGACCUGCACGAAUGGUGUAACGAUUUGGACACUGUCUCGGCCAUGAGCUCGGUGAAAUUGUAGUAUCGGUGAAGAUGCCGAUUACCCGCAGUGGGACGAAAAGACCCUGUGCACCUUUACUAUAUCUUCGUAUUGGUCUUGGAUAAGUGAUGCGUAGGAUAGGUGGGAGACUAAGAAGCGGCUAUUCCGGUAGUUGUGGAGUCAUUGUUGAAAUACCACCCUUUGCUUAUCUGAGGUCUAACUUUGCUAAGAGCAAAGGACAAUUCGUGGAGGGUAGUUUGACUGGGGUGGUCGCCUCCAAAAGAGUAACGGAGGCUUCUAAAGGUUCCCUCAGCACGCUUGGUAACCGUGCGGAGAGUGCAAUGGCAUAAGGGAGCUUGACUGAGAGACCCACAAGUCGAUCAGGUACGAAAGUAGAGCAUAGUGAUCCGGUGGUUCCGUAUGGAAGGGCCAUCGCUCAAAGGAUAAAAGGUACUCCGGGGAUAACAGGCUGAUC